UACGUAGGCAGCAAGCGUUGUUCGGAGUUACUGGGCGUAAAGGGUGCGUAGGCUGCUUUUUAAGUCUGGUGUGAAAUCUCCCGGCUCAACCGGGAGGGUGCGCCGAAUACUGAGAGGCUAGAGUGUGGGAGAGGAAAGUGGAAUUCCUGGUGUAGCGGUGAAAUGCGUAGAUAUCAGGAGGAACACCGGUGGUGUAAACGGCUUUCUGGACCAUAACUGACGCUGAGGCACGAAAGCGUGGGUAGCAAACAGG
Molecule: ribosomal RNA, 253 nt
Filed under: uncultured bacterium
Lineage: Bacteria
Description: partial 16S ribosomal RNA
Rfam family: Bacterial small subunit ribosomal RNA
Source: RNAcentral